AGCGGCGGACGGGUGAGUAACGCGUAGGAAUCUACCUAGUAGAAGGGGAUAGCCCGAGGAAAUUCGGAUUAGUACCGUAUACCUCCUUCGGGAGAAAGAAGGCCUCUCUUUGAAGCUUCGCUACUANAUGAGCCUGCNUAAGAUUAGCUUGUUGGUGAGGUAAAGGCUCACCAAGGCUACGAUCUUUAGCGGGUCUGAGAGGACGAUCCGCCACAUUGGGACUGAGACACGGCCCAGACUCCUGCGGGAGGCACCAGUGGGGAAUAUUGGACAAUGGGCGAAAGCCUGAUCCAGCCAUACCGCGUGUGUGAAGAAGGCCCUAGGGUUGUAAAGCACUUUAAGUUGGGAAGAAAAGUUUAUUGGUUAAUACCCA
This 373-nucleotide ribosomal RNA is filed under the name uncultured bacterium. RNAcentral's name for it is "bacterial SSU rRNA". It matches the Rfam family "Bacterial small subunit ribosomal RNA", at positions 94 to 477 of the family's 1533-position model. The record is from RNAcentral.